This 451-nucleotide ribosomal RNA is filed under the name uncultured bacterium. Its description in RNAcentral is "partial 16S ribosomal RNA". It matches the Rfam family "Bacterial small subunit ribosomal RNA", at positions 29 to 523 of the family's 1533-position model. The record is from RNAcentral.
AACGAACGCUGGCGGCAGGCCUAAUACAUGCAAGUCGAACGGAUGUAGCAAUACAUUAGUGGCGCACGGGUGCCUAACGCGUGGGAACAUACCCUUGAGUAAGGAAUAAUGUCUGGAAACGGACACUAAUAAUUUAUAAUGACUUCGGUCCAAAGAUUCAUCGCGCAAGGAUUGGCCCGCGUCUGAUUAGCUAGUUGGUGAGGUAACGGCUCACCAAGGCUACGAUCAGUAGCUGGUCUGAGAGGAUGGUCAGCCACACUGGGACUGAGACACGGCCCAGACUACUACGGGAGGCAGCAGUAAGGAAUAUUGGACAAUGGGGGAAACCCUGAUCCAGCCAUGCCGCGUGAGUGAAGAAGGCCUUAGGGUUGUAAAGCUCUUUCAAUAGUGAAGAUAAUGACGGUAGCUAUAGAAGAAGCCCCGGCUAAAUUCGUGCCAGCCGCCGCCGUAA